This 64-nucleotide transfer RNA is filed under the name Nipponnemertes punctatula. RNAcentral's name for it is "tRNA-Arg". Lineage: Eukaryota; Metazoa; Nemertea; Enopla; Monostilifera; Cratenemertidae. The record is from RNAcentral.
UAUGGGAGAGCGAAGAUUUGCGUUUGGUUUCGGCCCAAGUUUUAAAGUAAUACUUUUUCUAUAA